Molecule: ribosomal RNA, 254 nt
Filed under: uncultured bacterium
Lineage: Bacteria
Description: partial 16S ribosomal RNA
Rfam family: Bacterial small subunit ribosomal RNA
Source: RNAcentral
UACGUAGGGUGCAAGCGUUAUCCGGAAUUAUUGGGUUUAAAGGACGCGUAGGCGGUUUUCUAAGUCAGUGGUGAAAGUUUGCGGCUUAACCGUAAAAUAGCCAUCGAUACUGGAAUGACUAGAGAAAAUUCGACGUGGAUGGAAUGUGUGGUGUAGCGGUGAAAUGCGUAGAUAUCACACGGAACACCAAUUGCGAAGGCAGUUCACGAGAAUUUUUCUGACGCUCAGGCGUGAAGGCAUGGGGAGCAAACAGG